CAAUAGCGUAUAUUAAAGUUGUUGCAGUUAAAAAGCUCGUAGUUGGACUUGUGGUGGUCCCUGUGGUCCAAUUUUGGUACUAUCGGGGACUUCAAUCUUUGGGUGGAUCCUGUGUGGCAUUAGGUUGUCGUGCAGGGGAUGCCCAUCGUUUACUGUGAAAAAAUUAGAGUGUUCAAAGCAGGCUUAUGCCGUUGAAUAUAUUAGCAUGGAAUAAUGAGAUAGGACCUUGGUACUAUUUUGUUGGUUUGCGCACCGAGGUAAUGAUUAAUAGGGACAGUUGUGGGUAUUCGUAUUCCAUUGUCAGAGGUGAAAUUCUUGGAUUUCUGGAAGACGAACUAAUGCGAAAGCAUUUACCAAGGAUGUUUUCAUUAA
Molecule: ribosomal RNA, 372 nt
Filed under: uncultured eukaryote
Lineage: Eukaryota
Description: partial 18S ribosomal RNA
Rfam family: Eukaryotic small subunit ribosomal RNA
Source: RNAcentral